AGAGUUUGAUCCUGGCUCAGGACGAACGCUGGCGGCACGCUUAACACAUGCAAGUCGAACGAGAGAAGAGGAGCUUGCUUUUCUGAUCUAGUGGCGGACGGGUGAGUAACACGUGAGCAAUCUGCCUUUCAGAGGGGGAUACCGAUUGGAAACGAUCGUUAAUACCGCAUAACAUAAUUGAACCGCAUGAUUUGAUUAUCAAAGAUUUAUCGCUGAAAGAUGAGCUCGCGUCUGAUUAGCUAGUUGGUAAGGUAACGGCUUACCAAGGCGACGAUCAGUAGCCGGACUGAGAGGUUGAUCGGCCACAUUGGGACUGAGACACGGCCCAGACUCCUACGGGAGGCAGCAGUGGGGAAUAUUGCACAAUGGAGGAAACUCUGAUGCAGCGAUGCCGCGUGAGGGAAGAAGGUUUUAGGAUUGUAAACCUCUGUCUUCAGGGACGAAAAAAGACGGUACCUGAGGAGGAAGCUCCGGCUAACUACGUGCCAGCAGCCGCGGUAAUACGUAGGGAGCGAGCGUUGUCCGGAAUUACUGGGUGUAAAGGGAGCGUAGGCGGGAUCGCAAGUCAGAUGUGAAAACUAUGGGCUUAACCCAUAAACUGCAUUUGAAACUGUGGUUCUUGAGUGAAGUAGAGGUAAGCGGAAUUCCUAGUGUAGCGGUGAAAUGCGUAGAUAUUAGGAGGAACAUCAGUGGCGAAGGCGGCUUACUGGGCUUUAACUGACGCUGAGGCUCGAAAGCGUGGGGAGCAAACAGGAUUAGAUACCCUGGUAGUCCACGCCGUAAACGAUGAUUACUAGGUGUGGGGGGACUGACCCCUUCCGUGCCGCAGCAAACGCAAUAAGUAAUCCACCUGGGGAGUACGACCGCAAGGUUGAAACUCAAAGGAAUUGACGGGGGCCCGCACAAGCAGUGGAGUAUGUGGAUUAAUUCGAAGCAACGCGAAGAACCUUACCAGGUCUUGACAUCGUAUGCAUAGCUCAGAGAUGAGUGAAAUCUCUUCGGAGACAUAUAGACAGGUGGUGCAUGGUUGUCGUCAGCUCGUGCCGUGAGAUGUUGGGUUAAGUCCCGCAACGAGCGCAACCCUUACUGUUAGUUGCUACGCAAGAGCACUCUAGCAGGACUGCCGUUGACAAAACGGAGGAAGGUGGGGAUGACGUCAAAUCAUCAUGCCCCUUAUGACCUGGGCCUCACACGUACUACAAUGGCUGUCAACAGAGGGAAGCAAAGCCGCGAGGUGGAGCGAACCCCUAAAAGCAGUCUUAGUUCGGAUUGUAGGCUGCAACCCGCCUACAUGAAGUCGGAAUUGCUAGUAAUCGCAGAUCAGCAUGCUGCGGUGAAUACGUUCCCGGGCCUUGUACACACCGCCCGUCACGCCAUGGGAGUCGGUAACACCCGAAGCCUGUAGUCUAACCGCAAGGAGGACGCAGUCGAAGGUGGGAUUGAUGACUGGGGUGAAGUCGUAACAAGGUA
RNAcentral lists this ribosomal RNA (1470 nucleotides) under metagenome. RNAcentral's name for it is "bacterial SSU rRNA". It matches the Rfam family "Bacterial small subunit ribosomal RNA". The record is from RNAcentral.